RNAcentral lists this ribosomal RNA (516 nucleotides) under uncultured Clostridium sp. RNAcentral's name for it is "bacterial SSU rRNA". It matches the Rfam family "Bacterial small subunit ribosomal RNA", at positions 8 to 521 of the family's 1533-position model. Lineage: Bacteria; Bacillati; Bacillota; Clostridia; Eubacteriales; Clostridiaceae. RNAcentral also lists the same sequence under 1 other name. The record is from RNAcentral.
AGAGUUUGAUCCUGGCUCAGGAUGAACGCUGGCGGCGUGCCUAAUACAUGCAAGUCGAACGCUUCACUUCGGUGAAGAGUGGCGAACGGGUGAGUAAUACAUAAGUAACCUGGCAUCUACAGGGGGAUAACUGAUGGAAACGUCAGCUAAGACCGCAUAGGUGUAGAGAUCGCAUGAACUCUAUAUGAAAAGUGCUACGGGACUGGUAGAUGAUGGACUUAUGGCGCAUUAGCUGGUUGGUAGGGUAACGGCCUACCAAGGCGACGAUGCGUAGCCGACCUGAGAGGGUGACCGGCCACACUGGGACUGAGACACGGCCCAGACUCCUACGGGAGGCAGCAGUAGGGAAUUUUCGGCAAUGGGGGAAACCCUGACCGAGCAACGCCGCGUGAAGGAAGAAGUAAUUCGUUAUGUAAACUUCUGUCAUAGAGGAAGAACGGUGGAUAUAGGGAAUGAUAUCCAAGUGACGGUACUCUAUAAGAAAGCCACGGCUAACUACGUGCCAGCAGCCGCGGU